This 721-nucleotide long non-coding RNA is filed under the name Brassica napus (rape). Its description in RNAcentral is "long non-coding RNA (BNAP_LNC017853)". Lineage: Eukaryota; Viridiplantae; Streptophyta; Magnoliopsida; Brassicales; Brassicaceae. The record is from RNAcentral.
UGAUCUUUGGCUGUGGAAGAUUGGGUUUAAGUCCAUGAGGAACUUAGACACCAUUUGGAGAAUAUUUGGUUGAGACAGUAACUCCAAAGUUACCACAGUAACUUUGGAGAGUUACCACAGUAAGAGAACACAAAACUCUUAAGAGAAGAAGACAAAACUCUUAAGAGAAGAAGACAAAGGAGAGGCUGGUGAAACUCUUAAGAGAAGAAGACAAAGGAGAGGCUGGCGAGUGACAGGCUGGAAAGGAGAGUCCCUUGCUGUAAAGUAAAAGCAAAAGGAGACCAUGUAUCUAGCAAACAAAGUGGGCAGAUUCAUGGGAGCCUUUAGCUAGCCAAUAAGGAGCCAGCCUUCCCUUGACAUGAUUCAAAUGGACCAAUUAUCCAUCAGGAAGAGCACAUCCACGACCAAGAUCAUCUUUCCAUCUCAUCAUCCAUUUAAAUUCAAGUUAUAACAGCCCUUAGAUUUAGGUUUAUGAUUGCAAGUUGUAAAGAGCAUAUAUAAGCUCAUAAGUGCUGUUUCGUAAGUCUUAAGUGAGUAAGGGGGAUUUCCCCUCCUCCUUCAUAAUCUCAUGAUACUUUGUCUCUCUAAACUCUCUAUUCUCUCAUUCUGAAUCUCUAUACACGUUCUCAGACUUGUUACCAAUCUCUUAGACACAUAAACACUCUUUAGUCUCUCUUCUUCUCAAAUCGCUCCCAAGCUCUCUCUCUUUACCCAUUUGGGU